GCACUCUGUCUGAUGAGAGAGUUAUUCUAGUUGCAUAAAAAAUAUAUAAUUUUUUUUUGCUUGGCUAAAUGAAAAUAUUAGCUUCAAUGACAAACUCAAAUGUGCAGGAGCUGAAUUUUAAAGUAUGUGAAAUUGUCCAAUUUAGUAACAAAUACAAGUUGAUAUGUGAAAUUGUCCAAUUUAGUAACAAAUACAAGUUGAUAUGUGAAAUUGUCCAAUUUAGU
This 224-nucleotide unclassified non-coding RNA is filed under the name Hevea brasiliensis (rubber tree). The record is from RNAcentral. Lineage: Eukaryota; Viridiplantae; Streptophyta; Magnoliopsida; Malpighiales; Euphorbiaceae.